Molecule: long non-coding RNA, 569 nt
Filed under: Penaeus japonicus
Lineage: Eukaryota; Metazoa; Arthropoda; Malacostraca; Decapoda; Penaeidae
Description: uncharacterized LOC122267951
Source: RNAcentral
GCAUCGUGUCUGUCACUUGUCCUUUGUUUAUGUCUGGGAGAACGCGAUCGGUCCUUUCAUUCCGAGGCGCCUCCCCGGCAGGAUGUUUACUCCAAGUAUCUACUCUCAUCGAUGGUGUCUUCGUGGAUCUUGUGUCUUUACAAAGAUGUCUGCUACAACUCCAUUGUUGAGAAGAGGUGGCCGGAGUUCGUUGCAAGAUUCCAGAAUUUGGGUGUCUGGAUGAUCAGACCAAAAUGAAUGUAUACUGAGGAAUGGCUGAACUCCACAUACCCCAAAGCAACGUAAUUGUGUGUGAACCCUAAUUGCAGUAUAGAAAUGUGCUGGCGUUAAGAUGCAGAUUGGGGGAAACCUGUGUUUUCUUGUCGGCUUCUGCAAAUGAUGGAUCGACCUUAUGCACAGCUGGUCUAAGAACCAUAUCUUAGAUUCUUUCGAAGAUGUGGACUUGACUAUGACGAAAUGGAUGAAAGCAGAUGAUAAGUUGCAUUAGUUGUUAAAUGCACUUGCUUGUCUCUUUUUUUCUAAAUGUAACCAAUGAUCCGUUCAUCCAAUAAAGGAGAUAAAAUGAAAAA